AAACUGUGCAAUGCGCGAAAGCNCGACACGGGAAGCCUGAGUGCCUUAACUAUGUUAAGGCUUUUCUUGAGCCUAAAAAGCUCAAGGAAUAAGAACUGGGUAAGACGGGUGCCAGCCGCCGCGGUAACACCCGCGGUUCGAGUGGUAGUCACUUUUAUUGAGCCUAAAGCGUUUGUAGCCGGAUUUGUAAAUCUCCAGGAAAAGACUUCAGCUCAACUGAAGAAAUUUUGGAGAGACUGCAAAUCUAGGGACCGGGUGAGGUUGAAUGUACUUCUGGGGUAGGGGUAAAAUCCUGUAAUCCUGGAAGGACGACCGGUGGCGAAGGCGUUCAACUAGAACGGAUCCGACGGUGAGGAACGAAGGCUAGGGGAGCAAACCGGAUUAGAUACCCGGGUAGUCCUAGCUGUAAACACUGCCCACUUGGUGUUGCAUCUCCGGUAAGGGGGUGCAGUGCCGUAGCGAAGGUGUUAAGUGGGCCGCUUGGGGAGUAUGGUCGCAAGGCUGAAACUUAAAGGAAUUGGCGGGAGAGCACCGCAACGGGAGGAGCGUGCGGUUUAAUUGGAUUCAACGCCGGAAAACUCACCGGAGG
This 589-nucleotide ribosomal RNA is filed under the name uncultured archaeon. RNAcentral's name for it is "bacterial SSU rRNA". It matches the Rfam family "Archaeal small subunit ribosomal RNA", at positions 345 to 936 of the family's 1478-position model. The record is from RNAcentral.